AGAGUUUGAUCAUGGCUCAGGAUGAACGCUGGCGGUAUGCUUAACACAUGCAAGUCGAACGAAAUCUUCGGAUUUAGUGGCGGACGGGUGAGUAACGCGUGAGAAUCUACUCUUAGAUUGGGGACAACAGUUGGAAACGACUGCUAAUACCGAAUGUGCCGAAAGGUAAAAGAUUUAUCGUCUGAGAAUGAGCUCGCGUUGGAUUAGCUAGUUGGAGUGGUAAUGGCACACCAAGGCGACGAUCCAUAACUGGUCUGAGAGGAUGACCAGUCACACUGGGACUGAGACACGGCCCAGACUCCUACGGGAGGCAGCAGUGGGGAAUUUUCCGCAAUGGGCGAAAGCCUGACGGAGCAAUACCGCGUGGGGGAAGAAGGCUCUUGGGUCGUAAACUCCUUUUCUCUGGGAAGAACAAAAUGACGGUACCAGAGAAUCAGCUCGAUUCCCCC
RNAcentral lists this ribosomal RNA (449 nucleotides) under uncultured cyanobacterium. RNAcentral's name for it is "bacterial SSU rRNA". It matches the Rfam family "Bacterial small subunit ribosomal RNA", at positions 8 to 504 of the family's 1533-position model. The record is from RNAcentral. Lineage: Bacteria; Bacillati; Cyanobacteriota.